Molecule: long non-coding RNA, 477 nt
Organism: Mustela lutreola (European mink)
Lineage: Eukaryota; Metazoa; Chordata; Mammalia; Carnivora; Mustelidae
Exons: 3
Source: RefSeq, a predicted model, not a curated record
UGGGGCAGGCGUGGGGUGGGAGGAGCCGACGCGCUCCCGCGCCCCCUGGCGUCAGGCGGGACUCUUCGCAGGUGCCGGGGCGCGUGCCCCAGGUGCUUCCGCGGGCGGUUGCCCUGGAAACGAGCGCUCGCCUAGCCGGAAGGUGGGCUGUAUGGGCGGCCUCGAGUUGACUUCGUGUUGGACUGUCCAGGAGUCGGAAAAUGAACCUUCGAUGGUUUCGGUUACCCAUGGACAAUGAUGGUCUGGACCGAUGGUCUUCCUCCAGACAGAUUGUCAGAAGGUCAUUAGUAGAAUAACAAGACAUCUCAGUGCCGACAUCAUUGUGUCAUCGCAUUGGCAUCAUAUUGUCUCACAUUAUCACAAGAAAGAUGCUGAAGCAAAUGUUAUUGUCACCUUUGCAGAUAAGAAGUCCAGAGUCCAGAGAGGUAUGUAACUUGCUCAAGACCACGCAGCUGAAUAGUCGAAUGCUUUCUCAUU